Non-coding RNA from Flavobacterium sp. LM4, 105 nucleotides. The record is from Rfam. Lineage: Bacteria; Pseudomonadati; Bacteroidota; Flavobacteriia; Flavobacteriales; Flavobacteriaceae.
UUUGCACCGGCAAGUCCUACACGACCAGCUCCUGCAGACUCCCCAGGAUGGGAACAUAGCAAGGGUACGUGGUUGAGCGGUGCGAUGUAGGUCGCUUGCCAUUUU